Meriones unguiculatus (Mongolian gerbil) is the source of this 767-nucleotide long non-coding RNA. RefSeq lists it as uncharacterized. The record is from RefSeq and is a predicted model, not a curated record. Lineage: Eukaryota; Metazoa; Chordata; Mammalia; Rodentia; Muridae. The transcript has 2 exons.
GAGGAGAAGAAAAGGGAGAGGGAGGAAGGAGGAACAAAGCUAAGGAGGAAAGGCUCUAUGCCUGACCCUGACCGAAGGUAUCCAAGGCGGACCCUGUAGGUUCCACUCACUCGGCACAACUCUGCAGACUGCCUCCCACAGGCACUGUCCUGCCUACUUGCCUCACAGCAGGAGCAAAAACAUCUGGGAGCCUGCACACAGUCCUUAGGCCUACGACGCCAUGGCAGCCUCUUUGUACACUCAGCCCGGGGAUCCGCAUCUGAUACUGUCUUUCUGGUCCCUGGGCCACAGGUGAUCUGAGGGACACACCCAAGCUACCUAGGCCAGGGCAGCAGGUCUCUGGCUGCCCACGGAGCAGUGCCACGUGGCUCAGAAGAGGAGCCCUUGUGUCCCUGGCCAGAGAGACAGAGGAGGAGGACUAGUCUUCUAGGAUCUAGGGGAGCCGGGAGGAGGCACACCUCAGAACUGAGCACUUCUGAAUCCGCUCUGGACCACUCACACCAGCUCUAGAACCAUCCACAGCAGACUCAGUAAGACAAGCCUGAGGAGUUCGCUGAGAAAAGGAGUGGAGGGACUCUGGAAGACAGGUUCCUGCGGAGGUCCUGCCAACAGCAUCAGCCCUCAGCACCUCAUCCUUGAACACCCACCUACUAGACAGAGUUUAAGCAGGGUGCUAAAGGCAGGCUCAACUGAAAUAAUCUCCAGCUUUCCAGGAAGCCCCAUUUAUAGCAUUCAUUUCUUAUAAAUUGUGGUAUUUGUUGUCUUGC